RNAcentral lists this unclassified non-coding RNA (345 nucleotides) under soil metagenome. RNAcentral describes it as "partial contains 5.8S ribosomal RNA, internal transcribed spacer 2, and large subunit ribosomal RNA". The stretch from base 1 to 121 matches the Rfam family "5.8S ribosomal RNA", at positions 35 to 154 of the family's 154-position model. The record is from RNAcentral.
GAUGAAGAACGCAGCGAAAUGCGAAAAGUAAUGCGAAUUGCAGAAUUUCCGUGAGUCAUCGAAUCUUUGAACGCACAUUGCGCCCACUGGUAUUCCGGUGGGCAUGCCUGUUCGAGCGUCAUUAUCCUCCCUCAAACCUCGGGUUUGGUGUUGGACCCAAGUUGUGUGAACAACUGGUCUUAAAGACAAUGACGGCGUCCGUGGGACCCUCGGUGCAACGAGCUUUUAGGAGCACGCGUCGAGUUUCAAGGACCUUCCGGGCCGGUCUCCUUUACCAUUUUACAAGGUUGACCUCGGAUCAGGUAGGAAUACCCGCUGAACUUAAGCAUAUCAAUAAGCGGAGGA